Dipodomys ordii (Ord's kangaroo rat) is the source of this 352-nucleotide unclassified non-coding RNA. Its record names the gene 7SK. It matches the Rfam family "7SK RNA". From Rfam's summary of the family: 7SK was discovered as an abundant small nuclear RNA in the mid-70s but a possible function has only recently been suggested. Two independent studies have found that 7SK RNA binds the CDK9/cyclin T complex (known as elongation factor P-TEFb). The record is from Ensembl. NCBI's taxonomy places the organism in Eukaryota, Metazoa, Chordata, Mammalia, Rodentia, Heteromyidae.
AAAUAUGAAUUACAAUGAAUUUUCUCAUCAAAUUCAUUUUUCAACAGGGUUGAUUUGACUGAUCUAGCUGGCUAAGUGGGUAUCCCCUUCCUCUCUCUCUCUCUCUCUCUCUGAGCAUCUAUGAGCAUCAUUCUCAAGUUGCACAUCCAGUUGAAGAGGACAAACAUCCCCAAUAAAGGAGAAACGUCCUUUGGUGAAGGGUAUAUGAUUAGCUUCACUCCCUGCUAGAACUUCCAAACAAGCUCUCAAAAACUGAGAGUGGCGGUACAUAUCUGCAAUCACAGCUAUAUAGGAGAUUGUUGGAAGAAGGAUCUCAGUUCAAAGCUGGUCCUAGCUAAAACCAUGAGAAUUU